RNAcentral lists this transfer RNA (74 nucleotides) under Novipirellula aureliae. RNAcentral's name for it is "Planctomycetes bacterium Q31b tRNA-Arg". Lineage: Bacteria; Pseudomonadati; Planctomycetota; Planctomycetia; Pirellulales; Pirellulaceae. The record is from RNAcentral.
GACUCGCGGGUGUGCUGGAUAGCAUGACAGUCUUCGAAACUGUCGGACGCUUGUUCGAUUCCUGGGCGGGUUAC